This 71-nucleotide transfer RNA is filed under the name Marmota monax (woodchuck). Its description in RNAcentral is "tRNA.Thr". It matches the Rfam family "tRNA". From Rfam's summary of the family: Transfer RNA (tRNA) molecules are approximately 80 nucleotides in length. Their secondary structure includes four short double-helical elements and three loops (D, anti-codon, and T loops). Further hydrogen bonds mediate the characteristic L-shaped molecular structure. tRNAs have two regions of fundamental functional importance: the anti-codon, which is responsible for specific mRNA codon recognition, and the 3' end, to which the tRNAs corresponding amino acid is attached (by aminoacyl-tRNA synthetases). tRNAs cope with the degeneracy of the genetic code in two manners: having more than one tRNA (with a specific anti-codon) for a particular amino acid; and 'wobble' base-pairing, i.e. permitting non-standard base-pairing at the 3rd anti-codon position. Lineage: Eukaryota; Metazoa; Chordata; Mammalia; Rodentia; Sciuridae. The record is from RNAcentral.
GGGGAUGUGGCUCAAGUGGUAGAGCGCUCUCCUGGUAUGCGUGCGGCCUGGGUUCGAUCCUCAGCACCACA